GAUUGUGUUAAACUUCAACAAUACAUGACAGUUAGUUACAGCUCCACCCACAAGAUCACUGAGAGACUAUGACAAUGUACACUAUAGAACAGACUUCACAGUGCAGGAGGCAGGAGUUGUUCUGUUACACACCCAAUUUCUGUGUUUUACUAGUACUGGGCCUGCAGACGUGUAAAACUGCCAUGACAAUAAUAACAUUCUUCAGGACUGAGGCUAUACAUGACAUUGUAGCUUGUUCUCAGUAAAGUUAUCGGCAGAAAGCACUAAAUCUGUGAAGUGUGGAUGGUCAACAGCAAUAAAGAUAACGAUGUUAUAAAGGUAAUCCAUUAUUUAUGGGUCUGGAUCUCUAGGAACAAGUGGAGGAGAAAAUUUUAAUUUGCAAAUCUAAUCACAACUGUUUGGUGCAACAACUACCUAAAGGUAUUACCAGAAAGUGAAAUAAAAAAUUUUAGUAACUACC
This is a long non-coding RNA of Stylophora pistillata, 460 nucleotides long. The record is from RefSeq and is a predicted model, not a curated record. NCBI's taxonomy places the organism in Eukaryota, Metazoa, Cnidaria, Anthozoa, Scleractinia, Pocilloporidae.